UUAAGCGAUUAAGCGUACACGGUGGAUGCCCUGGCAGUCAGAGGCGAUGAAGGACGUGCUAAUCUGCGAUAAGCGUCGGUGAGGUGAUAUGAACCGUUAUAACCGGCGAUUUCCGAAUGGGGAAACCCAGUGUGUUUCGACACACUAUCAUUAACUGAAUCCAUAGGUUAAUGAGGCGAACCGGGGGAACUGAAACAUCUAAGUACCCCGAGGAAAAGAAAUCAACCGAGAUUCCCCCAGUAGCGGCGAGCGAACGGGGAGGAGCCCAGAGCCUGAAUCAGUGUGUGUGUUAGUGGAAGCGUCUGGAAAGGCGUGCGAUACAGGGUGACAGCCCCGUACACAAAAAUGCACAUAUUGUGAGCUCGAUGAGUAGGGCGGGACACGUGGUAUCCUGUCUGAAUAUGGGGGGACCAUCCUCCAAGGCUAAAUACUCCUGACUGACCGAUAGUGAACCAGUACCGUGAGGGAAAGGCGAAAAGAACCCCGGCGAGGGGAGUGAAAAAGAACCUGAAACCGUGUACGUACAAGCAGUGGGAGCCUCUUAAUGGGGUGACUGCGUACCUUUUGUAUAAUGGGUCAGCGACUUAUAUUCUGUAGCAAGGUUAACCGAAUAGGGGAGCCGAAGGGAAACCGAGUCUUAACUGGGCGUUAAGUUGCAGGGUAUAGACCCGAAACCCGGUGAUCUAGCCAUGGGCAGGUUGAAGGUUGGGUAACACUAACUGGAGGACCGAACCGACUAAUGUUGAAAAAUUAGCGGAUGACUUGUGGCUGGGGGUGAAAGGCCAAUCAAACCGGGAGAUAGCUGGUUCUCCCCGAAAGCUAUUUAGGUAGCGCCUCGUGAAUUCAUCUCCGGGGGUAGAGCACUGUUUCGGCAAGGGGGUCAUCCCGACUUACCAACCCGAUGCAAACUGCGAAUACCGGAGAAUGUUAUCACGGGAGACACACGGCGGGUGCUAACGUCCGUCGUGAAGAGGGAAACAACCCAGACCGCCAGCUAAGGUCCCAAAGUCAUGGUUAAGUGGGAAACGAUGUGGGAAGGCCCAGACAGCCAGGAUGUUGGCUUAGAAGCAGCCAUCAUUUAAAGAAAGCGUAAUAGCUCACUGGUCGAGUCGGCCUGCGCGGAAGAUGUAACGGGGCUAAACCAUGCACCGAAGCUGCGGCAGCGACACUAUGUGUUGUUGGGUAGGGGAGCGUUCUGUAAGCCUGUGAAGGUGGCCUGUGAGGGUUGCUGGAGGUAUCAGAAGUGCGAAUGCUGACAUAAGUAACGAUAAAGCGGGUGAAAAGCCCGCUCGCCGGAAGACCAAGGGUUCCUGUCCAACGUUAAUCGGGGCAGGGUGAGUCGACCCCUAAGGCGAGGCCGAAAGGCGUAGUCGAUGGGAAACAGGUUAAUAUUCCUGUACUUGGUGUUACUGCGAAGGGGGGACGGAGAAGGCUAUGUUGGCCGGGCGACGGUUGUCCCGGUUUAAGCGUGUAGGCUGGUUUUCCAGGCAAAUCCGGAAAACCAAGGCUGAGGCGUGAUGACGAGGCACUACGGUGCUGAAGCGACAAAUGCCCUGCUUCCAGGAAAAGCCUCUAAGCAUCAGGUAACAUCAAAUCGUACCCAAAACCGACACAGGUGGUCAGGUAGAGAAUACCAAGGCGCUUGAGAGAACUCGGGUGAAGGAACUAGGCAAAAUGGUGCCGUAACUUCGGGAGAAGGCACGCUGAUAUGUAGGUGAAGCGACUUGCUCGUGGAGCUGAAAUCAGUCGAAGAUACCAGCUGGCUGCAACUGUUUAUUAAAAACACAGCACUGUGCAAACACGAAAGUGGACGUAUACGGUGUGACGCCUGCCCGGUGCCGGAAGGUUAAUUGAUGGGGUUAGCGGUAACGCGAAGCUCUUGAUCGAAGCCCCGGUAAACGGCGGCCGUAACUAUAACGGUCCUAAGGUAGCGAAAUUCCUUGUCGGGUAAGUUCCGACCUGCACGAAUGGCGUAAUGAUGGCCAGGCUGUCUCCACCCGAGACUCAGUGAAAUUGAACUCGCUGUGAAGAUGCAGUGUACCCGCGGCAAGACGGAAAGACCCCGUGAACCUUUACUAUAGCUUGACACUGAACAUUGAGCCUUGAUGUGUAGGAUAGGUGGGAGGCUUUGAAGUGUGGACGCCAGUCUGCAUGGAGCCGACCUUGAAAUACCACCCUUUAAUGUUUGAUGUUCUAACGUUGGCCCGUAAUCCGGGUUGCGGACAGUGUCUGGUGGGUAGUUUGACUGGGGCGGUCUCCUCCUAAAGAGUAACGGAGGAGCACGAAGGUUGGCUAAUCCUGGUCGGACAUCAGGAGGUUAGUGCAAUGGCAUAAGCCAGCUUGACUGCGAGCGUGACGGCGCGAGCAGGUGCGAAAGCAGGUCAUAGUGAUCCGGUGGUUCUGAAUGGAAGGGCCAUCGCUCAACGGAUAAAAGGUACUCCGGGGAUAACAGGCUGAUACCGCCCAAGAGUUCAUAUCGACGGCGGUGUUUGGCACCUCGAUGUCGGCUCAUCACAUCCUGGGGCUGAAGUAGGUCCCAAGGGUAUGGCUGUUCGCCAUUUAAAGUGGUACGCGAGCUGGGUUUAGAACGUCGUGAGACAGUUCGGUCCCUAUCUGCCGUGGGCGCUGGAGAACUGAGGGGGGCUGCUCCUAGUACGAGAGGACCGGAGUGGACGCAUCACUGGUGUUCGGGUUGUCAUGCCAAUGGCACUGCCCGGUAGCUAAAUGCGGAAGAGAUAAGUGCUGAAAGCAUCUAAGCACGAAACUUGCCCCGAGAUGAGUUCUCCCUGACUCCUUGAGGGUCCUGAAGGAACGUUGAAGACGACGACGUUGAUAGGCCGGGUGUGUAAGCGCAGCGAUGCGUUGAGCUAACCGGUACUAAUGAACCGUGAGGCUUAACCUU
Molecule: ribosomal RNA, 2902 nt
Filed under: Escherichia coli HVH 161 (4-3119890)
Lineage: Bacteria; Pseudomonadati; Pseudomonadota; Gammaproteobacteria; Enterobacterales; Enterobacteriaceae
Description: bacterial LSU rRNA
Rfam family: Bacterial large subunit ribosomal RNA
Source: RNAcentral